GUCUAAGGCCAUAUCACCCUGAACAUGCCCAAUCUCAUCUGGUCUUGGAAGCAAAGCAGGGUUGGGCCUGGUUAGUAAUUGAAUGGGAGACAGAUCUUCAGAAGAGACUGCUGAGAGACA
This 120-nucleotide ribosomal RNA is filed under the name Castor canadensis (American beaver). Lineage: Eukaryota; Metazoa; Chordata; Mammalia; Rodentia; Castoridae. The record is from RNAcentral.